RNAcentral lists this ribosomal RNA (465 nucleotides) under uncultured bacterium. RNAcentral describes it as "partial 16S ribosomal RNA". It matches the Rfam family "Bacterial small subunit ribosomal RNA", at positions 338 to 795 of the family's 1533-position model. The record is from RNAcentral.
CCUACGGGAGGCAGCAGUGGGGAAUAUUGCGCAAUGGGCGAAAGCCUGAUGCAGCGACGCCGCGUGAGGGAUGAAGGUCUUCGGAUCGUAAACCUCUGUCAGCAGGGAAGAAAGGUCACUGUGCUAAUCAGCAGUGAAUUGACGGUACCUGCAAAGGAAGCACCGGCUAACUCCGUGCCAGCAGCCGCUGUAAUACGGAGGGUGCGAGCGUUAAUCGGACUUACUGGGCGUAAAGCGCUCGUAGGCGGUAUGUUAAGUCAAGGGUGAAAUCCCCGCGCUCAACGUGGGAACUGCCUUUGAAACUGGGAAACUGGAGUGUGUGAGAGGAUAGUGGAAUUCCAGGUGUAGGAGUGAAAUCCGUAGAUAUCUGGAGGAACAUCAGUGGCGAAGGCGACUAUCUGGCACAUAACUGACGCUGAGGAGCGAAAGCGUGGGUAGCAAACAGGAUUAGAUACCCCAGUAGUC